Molecule: ribosomal RNA, 253 nt
Filed under: uncultured bacterium
Lineage: Bacteria
Description: partial 16S ribosomal RNA
Rfam family: Bacterial small subunit ribosomal RNA
Source: RNAcentral
UACGUAGGGGCCUAGCGUUGUCCGGAUUUAUUGGGCGUAAAGAGCUCGUAGGCGGUCUGUCGCGUCGGAUGUGAAAGCCCGGGGCUUAACCCCGGGUCUGCAUUCGAUACGGGCAGACUAGAGUGUGGUAGGGGAGAUCGGAAUUCCUGGUGUAGCGGUGAAAUGCGCAGAUAUCAGGAGGAACACCGGUGGCGAAGGCGGAUCUCUGGGCCAUUACUGACGCUGAGGAGCGAAAGCGUGGGGAGCGAACAGG